This 477-nucleotide ribosomal RNA is filed under the name uncultured bacterium. RNAcentral describes it as "bacterial SSU rRNA". It matches the Rfam family "Bacterial small subunit ribosomal RNA", at positions 365 to 832 of the family's 1533-position model. The record is from RNAcentral.
UUCGCAAUGCCCGAAAGGGUGACGAAGCGACGCCGCGUGUGGGAAGAAGGCCUUCGGGUUGUAAACCACUGUCGGGAGUUAAGAAAUGCAAGGAUAUUAAUAGUGUCUUUGUUUGACUAAGGCUCCGGAGGAAGCCACGGCUAACUCUGUGCCAGCAGCCGCGGUAAUACAGAGGCGGCAAGCGUCGUUCGGAAUUAUUGGGCGUAAAGAGCACGUAGGCGGCUAUGUAAGUCGGUUGUGAAAGCCUUCCGCUCAACGGAAGAACAGCAUCCGAUACUACAUGGCUUGAGUGCGGGAGGGGAGAGUGGAACUUCUGGUGGAGCGGUGAAAUGCGUAGAUAUCAGAAGGAACGCCGGCGGCGAAAGCGGCUCUCUGGCCCAUAACUGACGCUGAGUGUGCGAAAGCUAGGGGAGCAAACGGGAUUAGAUACCCCGGUAGCCCUAGCCGUAAACGAUGGGCACUAAGUAGAGGGGUUUU